UAAGUUGGUAGUGAAAGCGUGCGGCUCAACCGCAUAUACAUUAUCAAAACUGCAAAGCUAGAGGACAAGAGAGGUUAUUGGAAUUCCUAGUGUAGGAGUGAAAUCCGUAGAUAUUAGGAGGAACACCGAUGGCGUAGGCAGAUAACUGGCUUGUUCCUGACACUAAGGCACGAAAGCGUGGGUAGCAAACGGGAUUAGAUACCCCGGUAGUCCACGCCGUAAACGAUGGAUGCUA
Molecule: ribosomal RNA, 235 nt
Filed under: uncultured Candidatus Saccharibacteria bacterium
Lineage: Bacteria; Candidatus Saccharimonadota
Description: partial 16S ribosomal RNA
Rfam family: Bacterial small subunit ribosomal RNA
Source: RNAcentral